AUUGAACGCUGGCGGCAUGCUUUACACAUGCAAGUCGAACGGUAACAGGGAGCUUGCUCCGCUGACGAGUGGCGAACGGGUGAGUAAUGCAUCGGAACGUACCCAGUCGUGGGGGAUAACGUAGCGAAAGUUACGCUAAUACCGCAUACGUCCUGAGGGAGAAAGCGGGGGACCGUAAGGCCUCGCGCGAUUGGAGCGGCCGAUGUCGGAUUAGCUAGUUGGUGGGGUAAAGGCCUACCAAGGCGACGAUCCGUAGCGGGUCUGGGAGGAUGAUCCGCCACACUGGGACUGAGACACGGCCCAGACUCCUACGGGAGGCAGCAGUGGGGAAUUUUGGACAAUGGGGCAACCCUGAUCCAGCCAUGCCGCGUGCAGGAUGAAGGCCUUCGGGUUGUAAACUGCUUUUGUACGGUAACGAAAAGCUCUCUCUAAUACAGGGGUGAAUGACGGUACCGUAAGAAUAAGCACCGGCUAACUACGUG
Molecule: ribosomal RNA, 482 nt
Filed under: uncultured bacterium
Lineage: Bacteria
Description: bacterial SSU rRNA
Rfam family: Bacterial small subunit ribosomal RNA
Source: RNAcentral